This is a long non-coding RNA of Piliocolobus tephrosceles (Ugandan red Colobus), 1650 nucleotides long. RefSeq lists it as uncharacterized. The transcript is spliced from 6 exons. NCBI's taxonomy places the organism in Eukaryota, Metazoa, Chordata, Mammalia, Primates, Cercopithecidae. The record is from RefSeq and is a predicted model, not a curated record.
AAUUUGGGAACGAGAUGCCCAGGGAUGCGACCAGCCCAGAGCUCGGAGGCGGCGGCCGGAGUUCCGUCCGCAGAGGGCACACAAAAGCCUCGAGGAUCAUUGCCUCGACCCCCUCCCCCACCGCGCGGCGACGCCCCCUCCGGGCUGGGACACCCCACCCUCGGACUGCUGCCGGGUUUCCCUCCGGCUGCGACCCUGGAGAGUUUGUCGUCUCCCUACCACCCUACCACACACAGCACCCUCAAGACUCCCUGUGAUCCUGGGAUGCAGUCACUGAAGAGUGUGUGACCCGGGAUUUGAUGGAAAUGCUACAAGAGAAGUAGGCUCUCCCCUUCUGAAAUGAUGAGUGAUAAAGACCAUGCAGGUCAACUUUUCCACCACAUGGAGGGAGCCUGUCAAAGAACAAAGGCAACAGAGAAAAGAGCAGAGCUGAGGUUGGGUGAGAGGGAGAAAUUUCUGAGUGCUUGAAUCCCACAUGCCGGAAGCUGCACCACACUUGGGCUUCUCAAUACAGGAACCAGUGAGAAACCUUCAGCCUGAAGACCUGGAAAUCCCAGCAGGCUGCAAACCAGCAGCAACCACCAUGGGUCAGUCCUUUUGAGAUGCUGCUGAUUACCCACUCAUCCGCCAAGUUAGCCAGUGAUAAGCCAUGGAUUCACCACACUCAGAUAAAACCUGUUCCUCUGGCAUCCCUCCAGAAAAAAAAGGCAUGCUCUUGUGAACCCUAAGAUGGCCUUAAGUUAAUAUUCAAUGCCCAGCCAAAGACCCUAAAUCAGAAAUCAUAAACGGAAUAUGUGCUUUUCAGGUACCAAUCACCCUCCAGAUCUAAGAAUGGCUUCAGGCUGGGGCUGUGGUCACCUCUUUACCCAGCUUCUCCCCGGCCCUAUUCUGCUUCACUUGCAUCCUUAAAGGUUUCACCCAAGAGCUCUUCAUCAAGAUAGCACCUAUAAAGCCAGACACACUGAUAUAUGCCUAUAAUCCUAGCACUUUGGGAGGCCAAGGUAGGAGGAUGGCUUGAGCCCAGGAGUUCAAGACCAGCCUGGACAACAUAGUGAGGCCCCAUCUCUACAAAAAAAUAAAAAAUUACCCAGGUGUGGUGCUGCAUGCCUCUAGUCUCAGCUAUUCAGGAGGCUGUGGCAGGAAGAUGGCUUGAGCCCAGGAGGUUGAGGCUGCAGUGAGUUAAGAUCAUGCCACUGCACCCAUCUUGGGCAACAGAGGGAGACCUUGUCUCUAAAAAAAUAAAAACAAUUUACAACAGUAAGCACCUGUACACAAACCCCAUCUCCAGCCCUGUUUCUAGGGCUUCCAAUUUAACACACCUAGAGGCUGGGCAUAGUGGCUCACGCCUGUAAUCCCAACACUUUGGGGGCCAAGGUGAGUGGAUCACUUGAGGUCAGGAGUUUGAGACCAGCCUGGCCAACAUGGCAAAACCCCAUCUCUACUAAAAAUGCAAAAAUUAGCUGGGCGUGGUGGCACACGCCUGUAAUCCCAGCUACUCAGGAGGCUGAGACAGGAGAAUCAGUUGAACCCAGGAGGUGGAGGUUGCAGUGAGCCAAGAUCACACCACUGUACCCCAGCCUGGGCAAUGAAGGAAGAUUCUGUCUCAAAAAAUAAAUAAAUAAAUAAUAUAAAACAUACCUGGAGCUUUCU